CCUGAAAACUACACAUGUUUGAAACUUGGGAAAAAUCCUGAUUUUGGCUACACAAGUUUUGAUCAUUUUGGCUGGGCAUUCCUUUCUUUAUUCCGUCUGAUGACACAGGAUUCCUGGGAGCGUCUGUACAGACAAACUAUCCGUUCAUCUGGGAAGAGCUACAUUUUAUUUUUUAUAGCUGUCAUCUUUUUAUGCUCAUUUUAUCUCUUCAACCUGAUAUUGGCUGUAGUAACUAUGGCAUAUGAAGAGCAGAACAGAGCUACUCUUGCUGAAACACAGGCAAAGGAAAAAUUACUUCAGGAUGCUAAAAAAGUUCUAGAGAAA
RNAcentral lists this long non-coding RNA (324 nucleotides) under Gallus gallus (chicken). RNAcentral's name for it is "long non-coding RNA NONGGAT003694". Lineage: Eukaryota; Metazoa; Chordata; Aves; Galliformes; Phasianidae. The record is from RNAcentral.